RNAcentral lists this ribosomal RNA (1405 nucleotides) under uncultured bacterium. RNAcentral describes it as "bacterial SSU rRNA". It matches the Rfam family "Bacterial small subunit ribosomal RNA". The record is from RNAcentral.
GAGUUUGAUCAUGGCUCAGGACAAACGCUGGCGGCGUGCCUAAUACAUGCAAGUAGAACGCUGAAGAGAGGAGCUUGCUCUUCUUGGAUGAGUUGCGAACGGGUGAGUAACGCGUAGGUAACCUGCCUUGUAGCGGGGGAUAACUAUUGGAAACGAUAGCUAAUACCGCAUAACAAUAGGUGACACAUGUCAUUUAUUUGAAAGGGGCAAUUGCUCCACUACAAGAUGGACCUGCGUUGUAUUAGCUAGUAGGUGAGGUAACGGCUCACCUAGGCGACGAUACAUAGCCGACCUGAGAGGGUGAUCGGCCACACUGGGACUGAGACACGGCCCAGACUCCUACGGGAGGCAGCAGUAGGGAAUCUUCGGCAAUGGGGGCAAUCCUGACCGAGCAACGCCGCGUGAGUGAAGAAGGUUUUCGGAUCGUAAAGCUCUGUUGUAAGUCAAGAACGAGUGUGAGAGUGGAAAGUUCACACUGUGACGGUAGCUUACCAGAAAGGGACGGCUAACUACGUGCCAGCAGCCGCGGUAAUACGUAGGUCCCGAGCGUUGUCCGGAUUUAUUGGGCGUAAAGCGAGCGCAGGCGGUUUGAUAAGUCUGAAGUUAAAGGCUGUGGCUCAACCAUAGUUCGCUUUGGAAACUGUCAAACUUGAGUGCAGAAGGGGAGAGUGGAAUUCCAUGUGUAGCGGUGAAAUGCGUAGAUAUAUGGAGGAACACCGGUGGCGAAAGCGGCUCUCUGGUCUGUAACUGACGCUGAGGCUCGAAAGCGUGGGGAGCGAACAGGAUUAGAUACCCUGGUAGUCCACGCCGUAAACGAUGAGUGCUAGGUGUUGGAUCCUUUCCGGGAUUCAGUGCCGCAGCUAACGCAUUAAGCACUCCGCCUGGGGAGUACGACCGCAAGGUUGAAACUCAAAGGAAUUGACGGGGGCCCGCACAAGCGGUGGAGCAUGUGGUUUAAUUCGAAGCAACGCGAAGAACCUUACCAGGUCUUGACAUCCCGAUGCUAUUUCUAGAGAUAGAAAGUUACUUCGGUACAUCGGUGACAGGUGGUGCAUGGUUGUCGUCAGCUCGUGUCGUGAGAUGUUGGGUUAAGUCCCGCAACGAGCGCAACCCCUAUUGUUAGUUGCCAUCAUUCAGUUGGGCACUCUAGCGAGACUGCCGGUAAUAAACCGGAGGAAGGUGGGGAUGACGUCAAAUCAUCAUGCCCCUUAUGACCUGGGCUACACACGUGCUACAAUGGUUGGUACAACGAGUUGCGAGUCGGUGACGGCAAGCUAAUCUCUUAAAGCCAAUCUCAGUUCGGAUUGUAGGCUGCAACUCGCCUACAUGAAGUCGGAAUCGCUAGUAAUCGCGGAUCAGCACGCCGCGGUGAAUACGUUCCCGGGCCUUGUACACACCGCCCGUC